GACGAACCAUCCAACCGUUAUUCGGAAUUACUGGGCUUAAAGGGUGCGUAGGCUGCGCAGAAAGUUGGGUGUGAAAUCCCUCGGCUUAACCGAGGAACUGCGCCCAAAACUACUGUGCUUGAGGGAGACAGAGGUGAGCGGAACCUAGGGUGGAGCGGUGAAAUGCGUUGAUAUCCUAAGGAACACCCGUGGCGAAAGCGGCUCACUGGGUCUCUUCUGACGCUGAUGCACGAAAGCUAGGGGAGCGAACGGG
This 253-nucleotide ribosomal RNA is filed under the name uncultured bacterium. RNAcentral's name for it is "partial 16S ribosomal RNA". It matches the Rfam family "Bacterial small subunit ribosomal RNA", at positions 524 to 776 of the family's 1533-position model. The record is from RNAcentral.